AACGUUCCCCUGUUGCGGGGAGCGUGGCGUACGGCUCAGUAACACGUAGUCAACUGCCCUAGAGACACAGACAACCCCGGGAAACUGGGAUUAAUCCGUGAUAGGUCAUCUCAUCUGGAAGGAGAGAUGGCUUAAAGGGGUGCGAGAGCUUCUUUCUUGUACUCGCUCUAGGAUGGGACUGCGGCCGAUCAGGCUGUUGGUGGGGUAAUGGCCCACCAAACCUGUAACCGGUACGGGCCUUGAGAGAGGUGGCCCGGAGAUGGACACUGAGAGAAGGGUCCAGGUCCUACGGGGUGCAGCAGGCGCGAAACCUUCGCAAUGCGCGAAAGCGUGACGAGGUUAAUCCGAGUGGUCUCCGCUGAGGAGAUCUUUUGUCAGCUGUAAAUAGGCAGGCGAAUAAGGGGAGGGCAAGCCUGGUGUCAGCCGCCGCGGUAAUACCAGCUCCUCGAGUGGUCGGGGCGAUUAUUGGGCCUAAAGCAUCCGUAGCCGGUUCCGUAGGUCCUCUGUUAAAUCCAACCGCUUAACGGUUGACCUGCAGAGGAUACCGCGGGACUAGGAGGCGGGAGAGGCGGACGGUACUCCGCGUGUAGGGGUAAAAUCCUUUGAUCCGCGGAAGACCACCAGUGGCGAAGGCGGUCCGCCAGAACGCGCUCGACGGUGAGGGAUGAAAGCUGGGGGAGCGAACCGGAUUAGAUACCCGGGUAGUCCCAGCCGUAAACGAUGCUAGCUAGAUGAUUCAUUCGCAAGUCGCGAAUGAAGUGUCGCAGGGAAGCCGUUAAGCUAGCCGCCUGGGGAGUACGGUCGCAAGACUGAAACUUAAAGGAAUUGGCGGG
This 833-nucleotide ribosomal RNA is filed under the name uncultured archaeon. RNAcentral describes it as "bacterial SSU rRNA". It matches the Rfam family "Archaeal small subunit ribosomal RNA", at positions 61 to 872 of the family's 1478-position model. The record is from RNAcentral.